Molecule: ribosomal RNA, 345 nt
Filed under: uncultured bacterium
Lineage: Bacteria
Description: partial 16S ribosomal RNA
Rfam family: Bacterial small subunit ribosomal RNA
Source: RNAcentral
CCUACGGGGGGCAGCAGUGAGGAAUAUUGGUCAAUGGGCUUACGCCUGAACCAGCCAAGUCGCGUGAGGGAAGACUGCCCUAUGGGUUGUAAACCUCUUUUGUCAGGGAGCAAGAGGCGCUACGUGUAGCGUUAUCGAGAGUACCUGAAGAAAAAGCAGCGGCGAACUCCGUGCCAGCAGCCGCGGUAAUACGGAGGAUGCGAGCGUUAUCCGGAUUUCUUGGGUUGAAAGGGUGCGUAGGCGGAAGGCCAAGUCAGCGGUAAAAUCGCGGGGCUCAACCUCGCUCCGCCGUUGAAACUGGCGUUCUUGCGUGGGCGAGAAGUAUGCGGAAUGCGUGGUGUAGCG